Molecule: ribosomal RNA, 253 nt
Filed under: uncultured bacterium
Lineage: Bacteria
Description: partial 16S ribosomal RNA
Rfam family: Bacterial small subunit ribosomal RNA
Source: RNAcentral
UACGUAGGGGGCAAGCGUUGUCCGGAUUUAUUGGGCGUAAAGAGCGUGUAGGCGGCCAUGUAGGUCCGGUGUGAAAACUCGAGGCUUAACCUCGAGAUGUCAUCGGAAACUAUUUGGCUAGAGUCCGGAAGAGGAGAGUGGAAUUCCUGGUGUAGCGGUGAAAUGCGCAGAUAUCAGGAAGAACACCAAUGGCGAAAGCAGCUCUCUGGGACGGUACUGACGCUGAGACGCGAAAGCGUGGGGAGCGAACAGG